GACCCGCGGGAGCCAACGCCAAAACGGACUCGACAAUUUGGUUUCGCUAUGGUAGGUCGGCAUUCCUAGACGCUUCCGCCGCUCACACUAACUUCUAAGGCCGAAACUGAGAUUAUCGGUUCUCAUGGGUGUUUUUCUAGGUUGAUGGCGCCCUGCCGCCCGAGUGCCUGCGUGACUGACGGAUGGAGGACAGAGGAGUACAUUGACGAAAUAUUAAUUUGGAUUUCUGUACCACACUAUUACUACUGUCGGAAAUUCCUGUAUAUAAUUACCUUUUAAUAGGGAGAAAUUAAGCGCUAUUUGGGCAAUUUGCACUUGGGUUAUUAUACAAGUGCACUGUUAGGAUUCGAAUUCGAGACUGUUGAACCAAUGCAUGAGAGAAUUAACUUUUAUACCAGCGUCUCGAGGCUGUGUAUUGGCUGAGGUGCCGGAUAAGUGACGUCACGUGUUGAAGCCUCGAAGCGUCAUCGUAACUCACGAAGCCAGCUCUUCUACCCAGACCCCGACCCGUCAGCACCUACGGCCGGGUACCGUCUCGCCGUCACCACCACGUUUGGGAUUAUUCUUGCUUUGUACGUAUGUAUACCGCAUAUGUAUACCACAUUGCUAACUGCAUGCCUCCCCCCACUCCCGCGGCCCCGCCACACACGACUUUCUACUCAUGCUCAUCCCUAUACUGUCCAAAUCCCUUACGCACGAGUUAACCAGCAUCUUCACUCUUUCAUCCCUCACGCUGGUAAACUCUGGAACAGUCUUCCUUCAUCUGUAUUUCCUCCUGCCUACGACUUAAACUCUUUCAAGAGGAGGGUAUCCGGACACCUCUCCUCCCGAAAUUGACCUCUCUUUCGGCCACCUCUUUGGAUUCUUUUUAGGAGCAGCGAGUAGCGGGCUUUUUUUAUUACCUUUUUUUUGUGCCCCUGAGCUGUCUCCUUUGUUGUAAAAAAAAAAAAAAAAGCUCAGCGUAGCAUAAGUAGCUGUCUAUGGUUGGCCAAUCCUCUCAUGCAGGGAAACCUCCUCAUUCACCACAGCUAGCCCGCCACAUCUUCCUGCCUCGAUCCACUCACCUACUUCAGCUAAGGGCAUUUAAAUUGAUUUUCCGCGUGUUACUCAGACAACUAAUACAUUUCCGAGUUUCCUGUAAGCGUCGCGGAUCCGUGAUAUAGGAAAUUAGUUCAACCCGUCUGCUGCGAUUGGCACGGAUUUGGCCUUCACUGGUAGCCUGGUAACAUACACUCCCAGGUCUUUCUCUGCCUCUGUGGUGGAUAGUGGAGUGUUUCCCAUGUGGUAUUGGUGUGCUGGAUAUCCCUUCACUGGUAGC
Molecule: long non-coding RNA, 1318 nt
Organism: Eriocheir sinensis (Chinese mitten crab)
Lineage: Eukaryota; Metazoa; Arthropoda; Malacostraca; Decapoda; Varunidae
Exons: 2
Source: RefSeq, a predicted model, not a curated record